This 231-nucleotide long non-coding RNA is filed under the name Elaeis guineensis (African oil palm). RNAcentral's name for it is "long non-coding RNA (EGUI_LNC004795)". Lineage: Eukaryota; Viridiplantae; Streptophyta; Magnoliopsida; Arecales; Arecaceae. The record is from RNAcentral.
CCUUCCAUUCUCUAUUUUCACUAUCUGUUUUCAAGGUCCCAACUGAUUUAAGCAUCAGAGGAUCCUAAACUGAAAGAUAUCCUAUGGUUUUAGGACUUAUUUUGCAGGUCCCUUCAUGGACUUCAUCGACUUAACCCCUAUCAGCUCUCUAGCUUAGUCCAAGAUCGAUCUUUGUCAUCUUUCUCUAGAGCUUUACAGUAAUAGAUUGACGUUAAAAGAAAGGUCCAGCCA